Molecule: long non-coding RNA, 1716 nt
Organism: Lathyrus oleraceus (garden pea)
Lineage: Eukaryota; Viridiplantae; Streptophyta; Magnoliopsida; Fabales; Fabaceae
Exons: 3
Source: RefSeq, a predicted model, not a curated record
GGUUGGUCCGAGAUUUCAGCAGGGUAACAGUAUGGUUUUUUCGGAUCGAUCUCACAAUGAUUGGUGGCCUUUAUAUAGAGCUUUUGGGUACGAGGUUUAUUCAUCCUCACUCUCUAUGAGCUGGCGAGUGAACCAAGAUUUUUCCGUUAGGGAAAAUCUCUCACAAAUUUUGCGUGGUCCCUUCAAACGAAAGUGGUCCCAAAAUGAAGGUUUAUUCUUCCUGGAGUUUGUCUAUUAUCAUUGGUCAUGGUUAUGCGCACAGCAGCGAUGCUUCUACCUGACUUAAGGUUUGUCAUUUAUGGUUUACAAGUGAUUUGAGCCCUCCUGGAUUAACCUUGUCUAUAAAGCAUUGGUUAUAAUAAAUGAUUUCUUUUCAACAUGCUUAUGCAGUUUUUGCCUUGAGGUCUAACUGAUUGUGACCUGUUUUCCAUACGAUAUGUGCAGCCCGAAACAGAAUAUUAGCAUAUGUAUCUGUUCUUGGAAACAAUGUCCAUAUUUGCUCAAAAGAGUCAUGCCAAUUGCAGGGUUAACAUCAACUAUAGGAUGCAUAGGUUCAAGUAAUUCAAUUAUAUCCUCUAGAGGUGGUGCACAUUGCUGCAGACUGUUUACCCAACUCUUAAUCCUCUUAACUUUAAAAUCUUUAUUAGGAUAUUCACCUGAUAGAAAUUUCAUGAGCAUCCUUAUCCGAAUGCAUCAGAUAUCCUAUUGAAAAAAACAAACUGACCCUUCAUUGUCACGAUUUCAGGAACAACUUGAAGUUCGAAGUUUGAAUUCAUUUUGCCUUGAUCUUUGGGCUGCUAGUUGAAUUUGGUGAGACAUUUAGGCUUUUGGAAAACUCCAGGUUUCGUUCAUCUUCAGUUACAACUUGGCAAGGCACACCUUUCGAAUGACUUUUCCUAAGACACGUAGUUCGGCGAACUUUUCCUUCAAAUUCAAUGUAAAACUUCUUAUUGAGAUCCUCUAACUUACCAGCGAGCUCAACUGAAUCAGGGUCAAGAAUGUCAUUCUUGGAGACAUUCGUUAGCUUACUUGAUUGCUGUUUUGAAAAUGAUGAACCUAUGCUCAAAGCGAUAGACGGAUCCUUCCUGGAUGGAAUUUUGGAACUAUCGCGCAAAACUCUUGCCAUUGUUUUAGUAGAAGGUGAAUGGAUUGUGGCUGCAAGAUGGUUAAUGCAGGUCUGGCUGCUGUAAGGGUUGAGGUCAUGGUGAUUGUGAAUUUAUGAUGCUUGGCAUGGCUUUGUUGUUGUAAUGAUCCUAUGCUGAUGUAGAGUAGCAGCAUUUUGUCUUGUUUGGCCUUAGGUCCAUCAUGUGUUGUGCAUCUUGGUAUCAUGGUGUAGCAAUGCUGAAUUUGCUUUAUGUCAGUAAUUAUUCCGUAUGGCUCUUAUGGUAUUACAAAUGCAUUGCAGGUGAUGCUUGUUACUGGGUUCACGUCGGCGGUGUAUUGCGCAAAAUGAUUGUCACUUACCAUGGUUUGGUCGUCUCCUUGCUAAUGUUCAUGGCGUGACGGUUUUAAAACAAUCUCUAUCAGGGUUGGAAACUGGAGUAUUCACACACAAAUGGUUCGACCAAAGAUCAAAGAGGAACUUGAGGAUGUGAUUAAGAUUAGGAUGAAUUGUAUUUUUGGUUAAACUUUGUAAUUUUGCUUGAAACAGUAUGCCCUUUUUUAUGGGUUGUAAUAGAUGUUAUUCGUGUAUUUGAAUGUAAUUUAUGGCUCUUG